UACGGGGGGUGCGAGCGUUGUCCGGAUUCACUGGGCGUAAAGGGCGCGUAGGCGGCCGGGUCAGUCGGGCCUGUAAGUGCGGGGCUCAACCCCGUGAUGGGCUCGGGACGGCCCGGCUGGGGCGCGGUCGAGGGAGACGGAAUGCCGGGUGUAGUGGUGAAAUGCUUAGAUAUGACAUAGAACACCAAUUGCGAAGGCAGCUUACUACACAGUUAUUGACACUGAGGCACGAAAGCGUGGGGAUCAAACAGG
This 252-nucleotide ribosomal RNA is filed under the name uncultured bacterium. Its description in RNAcentral is "partial 16S ribosomal RNA". It matches the Rfam family "Bacterial small subunit ribosomal RNA", at positions 524 to 776 of the family's 1533-position model. The record is from RNAcentral.